RNAcentral lists this ribosomal RNA (253 nucleotides) under uncultured bacterium. RNAcentral describes it as "partial 16S ribosomal RNA". It matches the Rfam family "Bacterial small subunit ribosomal RNA", at positions 524 to 776 of the family's 1533-position model. The record is from RNAcentral.
UACGUAGGGCGCAAGCGUUGUCCGGAAUUAUUGGGCGUAAAGAGCUCGUAGGCGGUUUGUCGCGUCUGCUGUGAAAUCCCGAGGCUCAACCUCGGGCUUGCAGUGGGUACGGGCAGACUAGAGUGCGGUAGGGGAGACUGGAAUUCCUGGUGUAGCGGUGGAAUGCGCAGAUAUCAGGAGGAACACCGGUGGCGAAGGCGGGUCUCUGGGCCGAUACUGACGCUGAGACGCGAAAGCGUGGGGAGCGAACAGG